This 2587-nucleotide ribosomal RNA is filed under the name seawater metagenome. RNAcentral describes it as "bacterial LSU rRNA". It matches the Rfam family "Bacterial large subunit ribosomal RNA", at positions 1 to 2602 of the family's 2925-position model. The record is from RNAcentral.
UUCCCUACACGACGCUCUUCCGAUCUUUGGCAUCAGUAGGCGAUGAAAGACGUGCUAAGCUGCGAUAAGCUUCGGGGAACCGCAAAGAGGUUUUGAUCCGGAGAUUUCUGAAUGGGGAAACCCAACGAGGGGAAAUGCCUCGUUACUGGCGUGUGAAUACAUAGCGCGUCAGAGCAACACCCAGGGAAGUGAAACAUCUCAGUACCUGGAGGAGUAUAAAUCAAUAGAGAUUCCCUUAGUAGUGGCGAACGAAAGGGGAAUAGUCCAAACCAACCGCUACGGUGGUUGGGGUUGUAGGACUACGUUGUGGUAUGACAAUAGAUAAUAGAAGGAUCUGGAAAGUUCCGCCAUAGAGGGUGAUAGUCCCGUAAAUGAAAUCUAAAGUUGGCCUAGUAGUAUCCUGAGUAGGACGGGACACGAGAAACCCUGUCUGAAUCUGGGAGGCCCACCUUCCAAGACUAAAUACUAACUGAUGACCGAUAGCGAACUAGUACCGUGAGGGAAAGGUGAAAAGUACCCCUUUUAGGGGAGUGAAAUAGUACCUGAAACCGUACGCUUACAAAGUGUGGGAGCUCCAUUUAUGGGGUGACCGCAUGCCUUUUGCAUAAUGAGUCCGCGAGUCAAUAUACGUAGCAAGGUUAAGUCCCUUACGGGAUGGAGCCGAAGUGAAAGCGAGGGUUAACUGCCCGAAUAAGUUGCGUGUGUUGGACCCGAAGCCGAGUGAGCUACCCAUGGCCAGGUUGAAACUUCUGUAACAGGAAGUGGAGGACCGAACCCGUUCAUGCUGAAAAAUGUUGGGAUGAGCUGUGGGUUGGAGUGAAAGGCUUACCAAACUCGGGAAUAGCUGGUUCUCUUCGAAAUAGCUUUAGGGCUAGCCUCGAUGAAUGCACGAUCCGGAGGUAGAGCACUGAUUGGACUAGGGCCCAUACCAGGGUACCAACGCCUAUCAAACUCCGAAUGCCGGAUCCGACACAUCGGGAGUCACACUAUCGGGGAUAAGCUUGAUAGUGGAGAGGGAAACAGCCCAGACCGCCAGCUAAGGUCCCUAAAUUAAGUUAAGUGCUUAAGGAUGUGAAAUUGCAUAGACAGCUAGGAUGUUGGCUUAGAAGCAGCCACCAUUUAAACAGUGCGUAAUAGCUGACUAGUCGAGUGAUUUUGCGCCGAAAAUGAUCGGGACUAAAACUUAAUACCGAAGCUGCGGAUUGUAGUAUUUAUACUACAGUGGUAGAAGAGCGUUGUAUACCGGGUUGAAGGGAAAGGGUAACCGAUCCUGGACUGUAUACAAGUGAUUAUGCGGACAUGAGUAACGAGAAACAAGGUGAGAAUCCUUGUCGCCGAAAUUCCAAGGUUUCCUGGGGAAGGAUCGUCCGCCCAGGGUUAGUCGGCCCCUAAGCUGAGGCUUAACAGCGUAAGCGAUGGGAAACAGGUUAAAUAUUCCUGUACUAGUGUAUGUGAGUGAUGGAGGGACGCAGGAGGCUAGGUCAGCCAGCGACUGGAAGUGCUGGUCGAAGGCCGUAGGAAGGCUGGAUAGGUAAAUCCGUCCGGUCAAUUCUGAAAGUCGUAAGAUAGGUAAGGCUUCGGCCGAACCGAAUUGAUUGAUGCCAUGCUGCCAAGAAAAGCUUCUAAACUUUGAUCAUAUACUAACCGUACCGUAAACCGACACAGGUGGAAUGGUAGAGUAUACCGAGGCGCGCGAGAGAAACUUUGUUAAGGAACUCGGCAAAUUAGCCCCGUAACUUCGGAAGAAGGGGUCCUCCUUAGUGUUGUUAUUUAUAACUGCACCGAGGAGGCGCAGUGAAGAGGCUCAGGCGACUGUUUAUCAAAAACAUAGCACUCUGCGAACUCGAAAGAGGAUGUAUAGGGUGUGACACGUGACCAAUGCCAAAAGGUUAAGGCAAGUUGUUAUCCUUCGGGAGAAGCUUCAAACCGAAGCCCUGGUGAAUGUCGGCCGUAACUAUAACGGUCCUAAGGUAGCGAAAUUCCUUGUCGGGUAAGUUCCGACCUGCACGAAUCGUGUAACGAUCUGAGCGCUGUCUCAACAAAGAUCUCGGUGAAAUUGUAGUUCCGGUGAAAAUGCCGGAUACCCGCGGUAGGACGGAAAGACCCCGUGAACCUUUACUGUAUCCUGAUAUUGGAUAUUGAUAACUCAUGUGUAGGAUAGCUGGGAGGCUUUGAUUCUGUGUCGUCAGGCACAGAGGAGCCAAUGGUGAAAUACCAGUCUUGUGUUAUUGGUGUCCUAACCACGAUCCCCUGAAUCGGGGCGUGGAACAGUGUCAGGUGGUCAGUUUGACUGGGGCGGUUUCCUCCCAAAAAGUAACGGAGGAGUUCGAAGGUUCCCUCAGCAUGGUCGGCAAUCAUGCGUAGAGCAUAUAGGUAUAAGGGAGCUUAACUGCGAGACCUACAAGUCGAGCAGGUGCGAAAGCAGGACUAAGUGAUCCGGUGGUAGCUAGUGGUAGCGCCAUCGCUCAACGGAUAAAAGGUACUCCGGGGAUAACAGGCUGAUCGCCGCCAAGAGUCCACAUCGACGCGGCGGUUUGGCACCUCGAUGUCGCCCUAUAGUGAGUCGUAUAGAUCGGAAGAGCACACG